GGAAAAGAAACUAACAAGGAUUCCCCUAGUAACUGCGAGUGAAGCGGGAAAAGCUCAAAUUUAAAAUCUGGCGGUCUUUGGCCGUCCGAGUUGUAGUCUGGAGAAGUGCUUUCCGCGCUGGACCGUGUACAAGUCUCUUGGAACAGAGCGUCAUAGAGGGUGAGAAUCCCGUCUUUGACACGGACUACCAGUGCUUUGUGAUGCGCUCUCAAAGAGUCGAGUUGUUUGGGAAUGCAGCUCAAAAUGGGUGGUAAAUUCCAUCUAAAGCUAAAUAUUGGCGAGAGACCGAUAGCGAACAAGUACCGUGAGGGAAAGAUGAAAAGCACUUUGGAAAGAGAGUUAAACAGUACGUGAAAUUGCUGAAAGGGAAACGCUUGAAGUCAGUCGCGUUGGCCAGGACUCAGCCUUGCUUUUUGCUUGGUGCAUUUUCUGGUUGACGGGCCAGCAUCGAUUUUGACCACUGGAAAAAGGCUAGGGGAAUGUGGCACCUUCGGGUGUGUUAUAGCCCUUAGUCACAUACAGUGGUUGGGAUCGAGGACCGCAGCACGCCUUUAUGGCCGGGGUUCGCCCACGUUCGUGCUUAGGAUGCUGGCGUAAUGGCUUUAAACGACCCGUCUUGAAACACGGACCAAGGAGUCUAACAUGCCUGCGAGUGUUUGGGUGGAAAACCCGAGCGCGUAAUGAAAGUGAAAGUUGAGAUCCCUGUCGUGGGGAGCAUCGACGCCCGGACCUGAACUUCGGUGAUGGAUCUGCGGUAGAGCAUGUAUGUUGGGACCCGAAAGAUGGUGAACUAUGCCUGAAUAGGGUGAAGCCAGAGGAAACUCUGGUGGAGGCUCGUAGCGAUUCUGACGUGCAAAUCGAUCGUCAAAUUUGGGUAUAGGGGCGAAAGACUAAUCGAACC
RNAcentral lists this ribosomal RNA (901 nucleotides) under Fomitopsis marianiae. Its description in RNAcentral is "Polyporus marianiae partial large subunit ribosomal RNA". It matches the Rfam family "Eukaryotic large subunit ribosomal RNA", at positions 55 to 941 of the family's 3401-position model. Lineage: Eukaryota; Fungi; Basidiomycota; Agaricomycetes; Polyporales; Fomitopsidaceae. The record is from RNAcentral.